RNAcentral lists this unclassified non-coding RNA (476 nucleotides) under Hevea brasiliensis (rubber tree). The record is from RNAcentral. Lineage: Eukaryota; Viridiplantae; Streptophyta; Magnoliopsida; Malpighiales; Euphorbiaceae.
CCAGCUUCCUAGUUGAUGUCGAUUUUGCUUUCCUCGCCAAGUGGCUCAACAUUAGAAGCUGGAUGACAUAGGGACCUACCAUUGUCAGCUUUUUAAUCCCCACCAGUUUACCAUCCUUGGUGAACCAGGCCACCGCUUCUCAGAUCUAGCCAAAUCUUUCAUUCAAACCCUCUACAUGCGAGUCCUAAGAUCUGGCAAACAAGACAAACAAAACAAAAUUAUGGACAACUAAACUAGAAAAAGGGGAGAGAAACCCUUUACCAGGCCAAACAAACCACCAUCCCUUGCCCAAAAGGGCAAGGGAGGCCACCGGAAAGAGAACUCGAGACUGAAAAAGAAAGGAAACUAUAAAGAGAUUUUUUCUCUCUAGAAGGACUAGAGAGUGCUCUGCUCCAAUUAGUUAAUAAGAUUUGAUGACCAGAGAGAGCUCGGCUCCAAUUACUUAAGAUUUGAUUAACUAUGUACUAAAAACAUAA